This 448-nucleotide ribosomal RNA is filed under the name uncultured bacterium. RNAcentral describes it as "bacterial SSU rRNA". It matches the Rfam family "Bacterial small subunit ribosomal RNA", at positions 355 to 796 of the family's 1533-position model. The record is from RNAcentral.
UCGAGAAUUUUUCACAAUGGGCGCAAGCCUGAUGGAGCGACGCCGCGUGGGGGAUGAAGGGCUUCGGUCCGUAAACCCCUGUCAUUUGCGAACAAACCUUAUGCAUGAACAAUGCAUGAGCUGAUUGUAGCGGAAGAGGAAGGGACGGCUAACUCUGUGCCAGCAGCCGCGGUAAUACAGAGGUCCCGAGCGUUGUUCGGAUUCACUGGGCGUAAAGGGUGCGUAGGUGGCUGGGUAAGUCUGAUGUGAAAUCUCCGAGCUUAACUCGGAAAUGGCAUUGGAUACUAUUCGGCUGGAGGAUUGGAGGGGGGACUGGAAUACUUGGUGUAGCAGUGAAAUGCGUAGAUAUCAAGUGGAACACCAGUGGCGAAGGCGAGUCCCUGGACAAUACCUGACACUGAGGCACGAAAGCUAGGGGAGCAAACAGGAUUAGAUACCCCGGUAGUCC